Xiphias gladius (swordfish) is the source of this 769-nucleotide long non-coding RNA. RefSeq lists it as uncharacterized. The record is from RefSeq and is a predicted model, not a curated record. The transcript has 4 exons. NCBI's taxonomy places the organism in Eukaryota, Metazoa, Chordata, Actinopteri, Istiophoriformes, Xiphiidae.
UUCGCCCACCUUGCCUGGGUCCUGGGGGGGAAAUAACCCUGGCGGGGACGUCGUUUUACACGAGCAAAUCGGGAUGCCACUCCUGGAAAUAAGGUGACUCCAAAAGGUGUCUCAUUUACAUUUUGCGUCUUCGUAGCUGGUUUGCUUUCGUUAGCCACGGGGAGCAGGGUGAACUCAACAGCAGUUGGUGUCGCUGUGGGCUUUGGCAUCCUGGCAAUCCUCUUCGCUAUUGGCAUUGUACAAUUCUGCUUCAAAUACAAAUGCAAAAAGUGCAAAAACUGUUGCAAGAAAAAGGAGCCAUCAUUGAAAGACAAAGUGCUCACCCAAGUCGGGUUGAAGAAAUCUCCUCCAUUCUCCAUCAGCAGCAUCAUAAAAUAACAACCAAGUUGGUGGCAGUUGAUUCUGGCAACCACCAUAAUGGAAGGCACAUCCCUCACCCGUCAUUUUCCUACGCACCACCCGUUUUGUCUUCAGCAUUUAUGUUAUCUCUUCCUGUUUUUUGCUGCUAUAAUUCAUGUUGUUUUUUUUAACCAGAGGAGGGACUUUAUAGAGUUAUGCUAAAGCUUAUGCAGUUGAAUUACAUUUGAAUUGAUGCGUCAGGUGACGCUUUCAAACCAUGUCGCUGCCUCUUGGCCAACUUUUUAGUUGGGUCUUGAAAACAAAAAUGACUACUUUGUCUUGGAACAGAAAGAGAGGUAUUGAAUGCUAUUGUUGCUAUAAAAGUUGUAUUUUUAUGUAAUGUAAUUUAAAAAAUUGAUUACAAAUAAAA